This 193-nucleotide ribosomal RNA is filed under the name Streptococcus suis. Its description in RNAcentral is "partial 16S ribosomal RNA". It matches the Rfam family "Bacterial small subunit ribosomal RNA", at positions 1 to 188 of the family's 1533-position model. Lineage: Bacteria; Bacillati; Bacillota; Bacilli; Lactobacillales; Streptococcaceae. The record is from RNAcentral.
UUUUAUGAGAGUUUGAUCCUGGCUCAGGACGAACGCUGGCGGCGUGCCUAAUACAUGCAAGUAGAACGCUGAAAUCUGGUGCUUGCACUAGACGGAUGAGUUGCGAACGGGUGAGUAACGCGUAGGUAACCUGCCUCAUAGCGGGGGAUAACUAUUGGAAACGAUAGCUAAUACCGCAUAACAGUAUUAACCG